UGGGGAAUAUUGCACAAUGGGCGCAAGCCUGAUGCAGCCAUGCCGCGUGUAUGAAGAAGGCCUUCGGGUUGUAAAGUACUUUCAGUCGGGAGGAAGGUGGUAAGGUUAAUAACCUUGGCAAUUGACGUUACCGACAGAAGAAGCACCGGCUAACUCCGUGCCAGCAGCCGCGGUAAUACGGAGGGUGCAAGCGUUAAUCGGAAUUACUGGGCGUAAAGCGCACGCAGGCGGUUGAUUGAGUCAGAUGUGAAAUCCCCGGGCUUAACCCGGGAAUUGCAUCUGAUACUGGUCAGCUAGAGUCUUGUAGAGAGGGGUAGAAUUCCAUGUGUAGCAGUGAAAUGAGUAGAGAUGUGGAGGAAUACCGGUGGCGAAGGCGGCCCCCUGGACAAAGACUGACGCUCAGGUGCGAAAGCGUGGGGAGCAAACAGG
Molecule: ribosomal RNA, 429 nt
Filed under: Chloroflexota bacterium
Lineage: Bacteria; Bacillati; Chloroflexota
Description: Chloroflexi bacterium partial 16S ribosomal RNA
Rfam family: Bacterial small subunit ribosomal RNA
Source: RNAcentral